AUAAGGUCCCAAAAUUAUGAUUAAGUGUGAAAGGAUGUGGAAAUUCCUUAACAGCCGGGAGGUUGGCUUAGAAGCAGCCAUCCUUUAAAGAUAGCGUAACAGCUCACCGGUCUAAUAGAGUUUCUGCGCCGAAGAUGUAACGGGGCUAAAAUCAUAUACCGAAUCUGUGGGUUUAUAAAAUUUUCGAAUUUUAUAAGCGGUAGCGGAACGUUCUGUAAGCCUGUGAAGGGAUACCCGUGAGGGAUCCUGGAGGUAUCAGAAGUGCGAAUGCUGACAUAAGUAACGAUAAAAGAAGUGAAAAACUUCUUCGCCGAAAAUCCAAGGGUUUCUGCGCAAGGUUAAUCCGCGCAGAGUUAGUCGGCACCUAAGGCGAGGGCGAAAGCCGUAGUCGAUGGAAAUAAGGUUAAUAUUCCUUAACCAGAUGGUAGUGACGGAUCUUGUAAGUUGUGUACUCUUAAUGGAUUGAGUAUGCCGCGAAAAGGUUCCAAGAAAUAGCUCCAUCAUUAGACCGUACCCUAAACCGACACAGGUGGAUUAAUAGAGUAUAUUUAGGCGCUUGAGAGAAUGAUGUUGAAGGAACUCGGCAAAAUGCUUCCGUAACUUCGGGAUAAGGAAGACCUGUUUUUAGGCAACUAGAGAUGGGUGGCACAAGCCAGGGAGAAGCGACUGUUUAUCAAAAACACAGGGCUCUGCUAACACGUAAGUGGAUGUAUAGGGUCUGACGCCUGCCCGGUGCUGGAAGGUUAAUGCGGUUGGUGCAAGCUAACUUCUGAAGCCCCAGUAAACGGCGGCCGUAACUAUAACGGUCCUAAGGUAGCGAAAUUCCUUGUCGGGUAAGUUCCGACCUGCAUGAAUGGCGUAACGAUUUCUCCGCUGUCUCCAACAUCAACUCAGUGAAAUUGAAUUCUCCGUGAAGAUGCGGAGUUCGCGUAGUUAGACGGAAAGACCCCGUGCACCUUUACUGCAACUUUACAUUGGUAUUAGGAAAAACAUAUUUAGUAUAGGAGGGAGACAUUGAAGCGAAGGCGUCAGCUUUUGUGGAGUCACCAGUGAAAUACCUCUUUUGUUUUUCUUGAUAUCUAACUGAUUGCCGUCAUCCGGCAUCAAGACAUUGUAUGGUGGGUAGUUUGACUGGGGCGGUCGCCUCCCAAAUAGUAACGGAGGCGUGCGAAGGUAGGCUCAGAACGGUCAGAAAUCGUUCGUAGAGUGCAAUGGCAUAAGCCUGCCUGACUGUGAGACUGACAAGUCGAGCAGAGACGAAAGUCGGUCAUAGUGAUCCGGUGGUUCUGAGUGGAAGGGCCAUCGCUCAACGGAUAAAAGGUACGCCGGGGAUAACAGGCUGAUACUGCCCAAGAGCUCAUAUCGACGGCAGUGUUUGGCACCUCGAUGUCGGCUCAUCACAUCCUGGG
RNAcentral lists this ribosomal RNA (1409 nucleotides) under marine metagenome. Its description in RNAcentral is "bacterial LSU rRNA". It matches the Rfam family "Bacterial large subunit ribosomal RNA", at positions 1039 to 2551 of the family's 2925-position model. The record is from RNAcentral.